GUCAGAACGGUAGGGUCUCCAAGACGGGAUCAGCGUCUUUAGAAGAAGAGGAAGAGAGACCAGAGUUCUCUCUCCAUCUCUGCCACGUGAAGACACAGAAAGAAGGUGGCUGUCUGUAAGCAAGGAAGAGCCUCACCAGGAAUCAGCACCUUGAUCUUGGACUUAACCUCCAGAACCGGGAGAAGUAAAUGACUGUUGUUUCAGCCACCUGGGGUUAUGGUGUUUUCCUAGAGCAGCCCACAAUGACCAACACACUCACUCAAAAUACCCCUCUGGUGUGGGCAUAGUUCAGCAGAACUGUGCUCCAUCCUCACGUAAAGAAUGUGUGUGAUCAGACCACUGAAGUACUUAACAACUAUGAAAGAGAAAGAAUUUUAAAAUGUACAGAUCUAGAUACUUCCAUUACUAAGAAACACAGCUUAAUUUCAUCUCCUAUUCACGGAUUUAUAAACCGGGAUUCUUCUCACAACCUGUGGAAACUAUGACAAAAACCUCUCAGAGGAGAUGUGAGAAAGAAGGAGAGAGGAGAAUCAAAUAAGAAGAGUCCGUUUUAUAAAGGUUAGAGAGUUCUCUUCUAAUAACACAAACCUAGUUAGAAUGAAUGUUGGCAGAAAUGUCCCAUCAAUCAAGUGAAUACCCACUAAUCCUUGAGACCUAACUCAAAUGCUGUAUCCUGCAAGCUCGCGCCACUCCUUCCCAGGCAGUCAGACAUAAUUUACUCUGUGCUCCCCUUUCUCCAUUUCAGCACUGAGCAAAAGGCACUAUAUUUGUUUAUGGAUCUGUCUCUUCCACCAGACUCUGAAAUCAUCUAGGGCAGCGUGCUACUCUCUCCAGCACCUAGAAUGGUGACUGGCAUGAAGCAGUUUGAUGAAGUGGAGCCACUUUGCUUUGCUGAAUGGAAGUGGAACUCUCUGUGCUAUCUCACAGCUUUUCUGUAAAUCUGAAAUUAUUCCAAAAUAAACAGGUUUUUUUAAAAAGGCACCAGGAGCCACUGUAUUAUCAGUAAUAAUCACACCUGCCUUACAUGUCAGGCAAGAAGACACCAGCUACGAGAGCCUUGCCUCACUGUUUUUCAGACGUGCCAGCAGGAGUUAGUAACCUUACAUGUAGCAAACUUGAAAAACAAUGAGUAACAAACACUUGAGAUUUUAAUCCUGACCUUAACUUUGGUCAAAUUGUUUAACCUUAGUCUCAGUUUGUGAAAAGGGAAUAGUAAUUCCGACCCUACAAGGCUGCCGUGCUACAUGAACUAUACAGAGUAUAUAUCAAAUGAGCUCUCCUAACGAUGUUCUAAUCAAUACGUGUUAGCGACCUUCCCCAGGCAGUGCUGCAACUGGACUAACGCUUCACCGCAAACCAGGUGCAUACUGUAACUAGUUCCACCUGGCACGGACUGUAAAGUUCUAAUUCAAUCACCAUUCGGGCUAUGAUUACCUAUAAAAUAAUCCUACAUAUGUGUCCGUAGAUGCCAACCCUGCCAAGAUGUCCUAGUCCAGAACUCCCCAACGAAAUACACAGGCUAUUCAAAACUCAACGCAACCGACAGGGGUCAGCAGCUCCUGGCACCCAUCUCCCCCGGACUAAGCUCCAGAAAGCGGGCACGCACACUCAGGCCGUGCUCGCCGACUAGGAAGAGCUCUUGGCAGAAGUCCCUCGGAGAUGAAACCGGAAGUCCCACCCCUCCCCAAGUGGAAAACGGAAAGCCGAAGGAGUCAACCGAAGGAAGGGGAGACGCGCGUCAGGCUGAGAGCCUGGCGGCGUGUGACCGGGAAGGCCACCUGGGACUUCCAGCGGCUCCCCGAGCGGGUAACCCCCGGGCGAUCCCGCCUCCUCCCUCUCCAUCUCUCCUCACUCCACCCCUUCGCCCGCCCGCGAUGAGAAAAAUGAAGCUCAAAGAAGUGACGUAUUAUUCCCUAGUUCUGCCUGUACUGGCUAACUUUGGUGACUGUUUGCCUCUCUGAUGUCCCACGCUUACUCUCCCACACACACUGCUCCUGCUAAUCUGGCCCUGUGGCCAGGAUGUAGUCCCAGUAAAGAGACUCCCUGGCAAGAGGGAGAUGCUGCACAGACAAGGCGCCAGAACUUCACUCCCACAUCGUCUCCAUAUCAAAGCAGCAUUUUCAAACACACAGAGAAUGUUGAGAAACAUUGAAUAUGUCUGUUUGUCUCAUAUCAAAGAGGCCUAUCAGGAGUUACAGUUUAGUUAGCCUAAAUAUAAAACCUGUUUUAAUGAGAACUAUAUACAUUUUAUGUCUAAUUAGCCAAUUAAUUUGCUAUUCCUGCAUGAAAUUUACAAAACUUGCUAAGAGAAAAAUUUAGAAUGGAGAUGCCUAAUAGGAACUGAAUUAAACUAUCGUGGUUUAAACACAAAGUGGUCUGGGGUGGUGAACAUGAAGUAAUCUACACAGAAUUUGAAGUAUAUUACGAUGUACACCUGAAAUUUAUACAAUGUUAU
Long non-coding RNA from Equus asinus (donkey), 2455 nucleotides. The record is from Ensembl. Lineage: Eukaryota; Metazoa; Chordata; Mammalia; Perissodactyla; Equidae.